RNAcentral lists this ribosomal RNA (253 nucleotides) under uncultured bacterium. Its description in RNAcentral is "partial 16S ribosomal RNA". It matches the Rfam family "Bacterial small subunit ribosomal RNA", at positions 524 to 776 of the family's 1533-position model. The record is from RNAcentral.
UACGUAGGGGGCAAGCGUUGUCCGGAUUUAUUGGGCGUAAAGCGCGCGUAGGCGGCUUUGCAAGUCGGGUGUGAAAUCCCCAGGCUUAACCUGGGAACUGCAUUCGAGACUGCAUUGCUAGAGUAUGGGAGAGGGAAGUGGAAUUUCCGGUGUAGCGGUGAAAUGCGUAGAUAUCAGAAAGAACACCAAUGGCGAAGGCAGCUCUCUGGGACGGUACUGACGCUGAGACGCGAAAGCGUGGGGAGCGAACAGG